GAUGAACGCUGGCGGCGUGCCUAAUACAUGCAAGUCGAGCGAACAGACGAGGAGCUUGCUCCUCUGACGUUAGCGGCGGACGGGUGAGUAACACGUGGACAACCUACCUAUAAGACUGGGAUAACUUCGGGAAACCGGAGCUAAUACCGGAUAAUAUCUUGAACCGCAUGGUUCAAUAGUGAAAGACGGUUUUGCUGUCACUUAUAGAUGGAUCCGCGCCGCAUUAGCUAGUUGGUAAGGUAACGGCUUACCAAGGCAACGAUGCGUAGCCGACCUGAGAGGGUGAUCGGCCACACUAGAACGGAGACACGGUCCAGACUCCUACGGGAGGCAGCAGUAGGGAAUCUUCCGCAAAGGGCGAAAGCCUGACGGAGCAACGCCGCGUGAGUGAUGAAGGUCUUCGGAUCGUAAAACUCUGUUAUUAGGGAAGAACAAAUGUGUAAGUAACUAUGCACGUCGUGACGGUACCGAAUCAGAAAGCCACGGCUAACUACGUG
Molecule: ribosomal RNA, 497 nt
Filed under: uncultured bacterium
Lineage: Bacteria
Description: partial 16S ribosomal RNA
Rfam family: Bacterial small subunit ribosomal RNA
Source: RNAcentral